AACGCUAGCGGCAGGCUUAAACAUGCAAGUCGAGGGGUAACAUUGUGCUUGCACAGAUGACGACCGGCGCACGGGUGCGUAACGCGUAUAGAACCUACCUUUUACAGAGGAAUAGCCUUUAGAAAUGAAGAUUAAUGCCUCAUAGUAUUGUAGACUGGCAUCAGUUUAUAAUUAAAGAUUUAUCGGUAAAAGAUGGCUAUGCGUCCUAUUAGUUAGUUGGUAAGGUAACGGCUUACCAAGACAGCGAUAGGUAGGGGUCCUGAGAGGGAGAUCCCCCACACUGGUACUGAGACACGGACCAGACUCCUACGGGAGGCAGCAGUGAGGAAUAUUGGACAAUGGAGGAGACUCUGAUCCAGCCAUGCCGCGUGUAGGAAGAAUGCCCUAUGGGUUGUAAACUACUUUUAUACAGGAAGAAACACUGGUAUGUAUACCAGCUUGACGGUACUGUAAGAAUAAGGACCGGCUAA
This 470-nucleotide ribosomal RNA is filed under the name uncultured Polaribacter sp. Its description in RNAcentral is "bacterial SSU rRNA". It matches the Rfam family "Bacterial small subunit ribosomal RNA", at positions 32 to 500 of the family's 1533-position model. Lineage: Bacteria; Pseudomonadati; Bacteroidota; Flavobacteriia; Flavobacteriales; Flavobacteriaceae. The record is from RNAcentral.